RNAcentral lists this long non-coding RNA (1066 nucleotides) under Nicotiana benthamiana. Its description in RNAcentral is "long non-coding RNA (NBEN_LNC014810)". Lineage: Eukaryota; Viridiplantae; Streptophyta; Magnoliopsida; Solanales; Solanaceae. The record is from RNAcentral.
UUAUGCUGAUUAAGGAUCAUUCCACCAGGAACAACUGACAUUUCAAGGCCCAAAAAAUAAUGCAAAGAUCCUAGGUCUUUGAUUUUAAACUGAUCAUCAAGAAACAGUUUCAGGGCAGUAAUCUCAUCACUCUCAUCCCCAUUAAGAAUAAUAUCAUCCACAUAGACUGCCACAACCACAAGGGACCCACGUUUACCUUUGAUGACCAAAGAAUAGUUAUUCAAAGAAUGUGUGUACCCUCUGGAAUAAAGAGCAGAAGACAAUUUGGCAUACCAUUGUCUGGAUGCUUGUCUCAGCCCAUAUAGGGAUUUCUUGAGCAGGUCUUUGAUUUUAAACUGAUCAUACAGAAAUGGUUUCAGGGCAGUAAUCUCAUCACUGUCAUCCCCAGUAAGGAUAAUAUCAUCCACAUAGACUGCCACAACCACAAGGGACCCAGAUUUACCUUUGAUGAACAAAGAAUAGUCAUUCAAAGAAUGUGUGUACCCUCUGGAAUAAAGAGCAUAAGACAGUUUGGCAUACCAUUAUCUGGAUGCUUGUCUCAGCCCAUAGAGGGAUUUCUUAAGCUUACAAACCAGAGGAGAAGGAGUAGAAGAUGUAGGAGAAACAGAACCAGAAAGAGGAGAAGAGACUGUCAAACCUGGGGGAAGUUUCAUAUAAACUUCCUCAUCCAAAUCCCCAUGGAGAAAAGUAUUAUUAACAUCAAGUUGAAACAGAGGCCAGUGAUUCUUGACGGCCACAACAAUAAGACAUUCACAGUGGUCAUCUUAAUCACAGGAGAAAAAGUGUCAGUAAAAUCAAUCCCUUCAACUUGANNNNNNNNNNNNNNNNNNNNNNNNNNNNNNNNNNNNNAAAGGUGUCAGUAAAAUCAAUCCCUUCAACUUGAGUAUCACCCCUAAUAACAAGCCUAGCUUUAUACCUUUCAACAGUACCAUCAGCCUUGUAUUUGAUUGUAUAGACCUAUUUACAGCCAAUGGGUUUCUUACCAGGAGGAAGAGGAACAACAUCCCAGGUAUGGGUUGCUUCCAAAGCAUCAAACUCCUGUCUCAUGGCAUGCUGCCAUGCUGGA